RNAcentral lists this long non-coding RNA (1218 nucleotides) under Prunus dulcis (almond). RNAcentral's name for it is "sRNA ncRNA". Lineage: Eukaryota; Viridiplantae; Streptophyta; Magnoliopsida; Rosales; Rosaceae. The record is from RNAcentral.
UUUUGGUAGUUCAACUGUGGAAUUUCUUUGUUUCUGUAUUUCCGGAAUAUGAGUGUGUGACUUGGUAUAAUUGAUCCUAUGGAUAGUAUAGAGAAUGGGUUUGUCAUCUUGAUAGAGAUGGUUUUACUUCGACGGAUAUUAAUUAUAGUAUCUGGAGCACGGAAUAUAUAUAUAUAUAUAUAUAUAUGAAAUAAAUUACAAAGUAUUAGAACUAUGAUUCAUACUUAAUAGUUAAACCUCAUGGCCGGACUUCGAAUUUUUUUUUUUCAAAGAGUUAGAGGUUAUAAAAAGAAUGAUUUUUUUUUUUUUUCAAACUAAACUUUCGUUUAGGCUUAUUUUGAUCAAAGGACAAAGGUUUAUUUGGAUUUUUAGUCUUUAUAUCUAUUCAUUGAAUAAGUGAUGAUCCAACAGUUCUUUCUCAGGGAAUUUUGGGACGUAGUUUGAAAGGGUUUUAUUGAAUCAUCGUGGUUCUAAUAUGAAUCUGAGGUUUUAAUUAAUUAAUAGGGUCUUAACAAGAUAAUUCCUAUCAAUAAUAAAGAAACCAGCAGUAAAGCCGCAUUACACAUAAAUAACAACAAAUAAAAUAGGUAAAUAGAAGAUUUAAGAGACACUGACAUAGAAAGUUUGGAUUUUGCAUUUGGAAAGUUUGAGUUGUGUCUUUUUAUAUUUGGGAAAUUGAUUUGUGGCUUUUGACAUGCAUGAGACGAUGAUGAAUUUUCUAUUUAAAUGCACCACCGAUGGUGAACUAAGAGGUAACUAUUUUGUCAAUGGGUGUGUUGAUUGGUUUGAUUAUUGUGAUUAUUGGUUUACCACUGAUUUCUCGAGCUUAUUCUGCGAUUUUAGAAACCCAUGAACCACGGCCUUUGACGGGUCAAACAUUUCCGGAUCAACCCAUACCCAGAACCCUUCUUACCCUCACAUACCUUUCCAUGGAUGAAAAAUCGAAUCCCAGGAUUUGAAUCUGUCCAAGAGGUUCGAAUUGUAGCAUCCUUGCCACACCAACACAUUAGCGCCUCUUCAUCCAUUCCAGGAAUCGAAUUGCUUUUUGAUCUUCUUCUUUGCAACAGAAGGUAGGGCACACUCUUUGAGAAGUUUCCUCUGGAAUUGAUGUGUGUUUUUUCUGGUAUGAAACUGUCGAAUUGAUGUUGGGUUAAAGGGGGUAACGACUUCAAAUCCUUGGUCUAGUCUAAACACAGUUUUUUUUUCCUUUUCUAAAAU